ACAACAAGAAACACCCGAUACACCCAGAUUCUUCUUAGUGUUUCUUGGCACAAAGAUCUGAUAUGGCAACCAAUUUUGGGUGGCAAAGAGCUAUCUUGGAAAGAAUUAAAUGAAAGAAAAUCAGAAUCCAAACUAAUUCUGCAUGAGGAGCAAACUGAGAAAGAAUUGAAACCAAUUUUUGGAAAACUUGAUUUGGGCAGCCGAAACCUUACUUUGUUUUGCAGAUUUUGUGGACCCAGAAAGGAAGAAAUUCUUCUCCUCUAAUUAACCAUGCCUCUUUUCCUUCUUUUACUAUGGAAAUUAUAAUAAAAUCAGAAAAUUUGGGCAGCAUAAGGAGUAGAUGGCUGGUGGUUGCUUAAAGCCUAUCCAAGGAGGAGAGAUUCUAUACCAAAUAAAAAAAAUGAUAUAUAGAAUAAAAUCAUGGAAAAAAUACCACCUUAACCCUAGCCCUAGCCCUAUUUAAGGAUCCUAAAACACCAGCAGGAGGGGGAGGAGAAUCAUCUUUGAAAGCUAGAAAUCAAGCAAAGAGAGUUUGGAGUAUCUGGAAGAUUUGAAGAGAGGAUUCAUUCGGCUCUGCAAUUCCUUCAGAGUUUUUAAUUCUUUCUCUUGUUUACUUUGAAUUUAUUUUCUAGAACUCAUUGUUAGGAUGAUUUUGGAGUUUUAUUCAAGUAAACUUGAGUUUG
Molecule: long non-coding RNA, 683 nt
Filed under: Elaeis guineensis (African oil palm)
Lineage: Eukaryota; Viridiplantae; Streptophyta; Magnoliopsida; Arecales; Arecaceae
Description: long non-coding RNA (EGUI_LNC060791)
Source: RNAcentral